This 121-nucleotide ribosomal RNA is filed under the name Diaphorina citri (Asian citrus psyllid). The record is from RNAcentral. Lineage: Eukaryota; Metazoa; Arthropoda; Insecta; Hemiptera; Psyllidae.
GCCAGUGACGAUACUACAUUGACCGCCACUAGUUCCUCCAUGGAUCACUGAAGUUAAGCAAACGAUGGGCGUGGUUAUUAUCCGGAUGGGUGACCAUCUGGGUAAUCGCGUGUUGUUUCUC